UGGCGGCAGGCCUAACACAUGCAAGUCGAGCGCCCUCUUCGGAGGGAGCGGCGGACGGGUUAGUAACGCGUGGGAACGUGCCCUUCUCUACGGAAUAGCCCAGGGAAACUUGGAUUAAUACCGUAUACGCCCUUCGGGGGAAAGAUUUAUCGGAGAGGGAUCGGCCCGCGUUAGAUUAGGUAGUUGGUGGGGUAAUGGCCUACCAAGCCUACGAUCUAUAGCUGGUUUGAGAGGAUGAUCAGCAACACUGGGACUGAGACACGGCCCAGACUCCUACGGGAGGCAGCAGUGGGGAAUCUUGGACAAUGGGCGCAAGCCUGAUCCAGCCAUGCCGCGUGAGUGACGAAGGCCCUAGGGUCGUAAAGCUCUUUCGCCUGUGAAGAUAAUGACGGUAUCAGGUAAAGAAACCCCGGCUAACUCCGUGCCAGCAGCCGCGGUAAUACGGAGGGGGUUAGCGUUGUUCGGAAUUACUGGGCGUAAAGCGCACGUA
This 490-nucleotide ribosomal RNA is filed under the name uncultured Paracoccaceae bacterium. RNAcentral's name for it is "bacterial SSU rRNA". It matches the Rfam family "Bacterial small subunit ribosomal RNA", at positions 37 to 573 of the family's 1533-position model. Lineage: Bacteria; Pseudomonadati; Pseudomonadota; Alphaproteobacteria; Rhodobacterales; Paracoccaceae. The record is from RNAcentral.